RNAcentral lists this ribosomal RNA (285 nucleotides) under uncultured Burkholderiales bacterium. RNAcentral's name for it is "partial 16S ribosomal RNA". It matches the Rfam family "Bacterial small subunit ribosomal RNA", at positions 505 to 783 of the family's 1533-position model. The record is from RNAcentral. Lineage: Bacteria; Pseudomonadati; Pseudomonadota; Betaproteobacteria; Burkholderiales.
GUGCCAGCAGCCGCGGUAAUACGUAGGUUGCGAGCGUUAUUCGGAAUUACUGGGCGUAAAGCGUGCGUAGGCGGCUUUGCAAGUCAGAUGUAAAUCCCAGGGCUCAACCUGGGAAGCUGUCCUUUGGUGACUGCAAGGCUAGAGUAUAGCAGAAGGGGGAUGGAAUUCCGACGUGUAGCAGUGAAAUGCGUAGAUAUGACGGAGGAACACCGAUGGCGAAGGCAAUCCUCUGGGUCCUGUACUGACGCUCAUGCACGAAAGCGUGGGGAUCAAACAGGAUUAGAU